CCUACGGGAGGCAGCAGUGGGGAAUAUUGCGCAAUGGGCGAAAGCCUGACGCAGCGACGCCGCGUGAGGGAUGAAGGUCUUCGGAUCGUAAACCUCUGUCAGCAGGGAAGAACGGUCACUGUGCUAAUCAGCAGUGAAUUGACGGUACCUGCAAAGGAAGCACCGGCUAACUCCGUCCCAGCAGCCGCGGUAAUACGGAGGGUGCGAGCGUUAAUCGGAAUUACUGGGCGUAAAGCGCGCGUAGGCGGUAUGUCAAGUCAAGGGUGAAAUCCCCGCGCUCAACGUGGGAACUGCCUUUGAAACUGGCAAACUAGAGUGUGUGAGAGGUUGGUGGAAUUCAAGGUGUAGGAGUGAAAUGCGUAGAGAUC
Molecule: ribosomal RNA, 368 nt
Filed under: uncultured bacterium
Lineage: Bacteria
Description: partial 16S ribosomal RNA
Rfam family: Bacterial small subunit ribosomal RNA
Source: RNAcentral